Molecule: small nucleolar RNA, 136 nt
Organism: Mastomys coucha (southern multimammate mouse)
Lineage: Eukaryota; Metazoa; Chordata; Mammalia; Rodentia; Muridae
Product: small nucleolar RNA SNORA17
Exons: 1
Source: RefSeq, a predicted model, not a curated record
ACGCCCCUAGAAGCAUUGAGGGGGCUGGCUGCUGUGUCCCAUGUGUGUCUGUAGGUGGCCGAGAGGAGAAAAGAAGCCAAGUCUGUGCUUAGUGUCCUGACCUGUGAACAUCUUGAAUGAUUAGUAGCCUAAUAUU